This is a non-coding RNA of Vicugna pacos (alpaca), 566 nucleotides long. NCBI's taxonomy places the organism in Eukaryota, Metazoa, Chordata, Mammalia, Artiodactyla, Camelidae. The record is from RefSeq and is a predicted model, not a curated record.
CUGCCGGCAGGCCUUGGCCGAGGAGGGGGUGGGGGGCUGAACGAGACAAUGCCAGGGAGAGGCCCCUGCAAAUCCGGGAAUGGCAGAUAAACCAAGUGUGGAGAGGAAAGAGAAAGGAGAGUGGAAAGAUCCUUGAGGAUAAAACAGUUGGAAGGAGCAAUGAUUUAUCUUUCCAUAGGGGUAAAUGGGGAGAAGGAGAGAGUAAAUUAAGAAGAGAGGCUGGGAAGAAUUUACAGAAAAGCACCUUCCUUGGCGUGCUUGGGGAACUACGUUAAGAGUUGAUUCCUUUUACAUGACCCAUUGACUUCCCACGGAAUUCUGAGCUGCCCAAGUCACACCUCCAUCCAGAUGUGAGGAGGAGAACGAGUCCCGGGUUCCAAUCUCCGCUGCCCAGUCAGUACUCAGCAGAGGGCGGGGUGGAGAUGGACCGGCCUUCGGUUAUUCCUUGUAGACUUGUUUAAAGGGAAAAAAAAAAAUCAGAACUGGUACUUUUACUAUUUUGUCCUCUUUUGGGUGGGGGAGGAAAAAGGAGGUGGGAUAAGCAGUUAAUUAAAAGGGAGUACUUU